GGUUGGCUCCUCCACAGUCCUGCCAGAGCGGGGUUACCCACGGGGCACCUCCGCCUCCCCGACGGGGCGGGACGGCUGCGGCGGGAGGCUGGGUCCUAGGGGGCCCGGGGUGAGCAGACGGGCGGGCCCCCAGGGACAGCGGCAGCCGUGGCGAAUGGCACAACCCCCCCCCCCCCCCCCCCCCCCCCCAAAGGGGAGGAGGGGUUGGGGGGUGACCCCUGCCCCGGCCCCACGCCCGAGCUGUCCCAGCCCCGCCGCUCGGGCUUUGUCCCCGCCGGCCGCCCCGUCCCUCCUCCCGCCCUCCCCCGCCCUCCAGCCAGCCCCCCGCCGCCGGCUCUGCCUCAACUUUAGAGGCACCAGGGAGCGGGACACGGCACCGGCACCGGCACCGAGUAGGAGCAUCCAGCCUCCAUCCCGGGCCGAGCCUCCUCCCCAUUCUGUCAGCCUGGGAAGGAUGCGGCGACCCGGAGCCGGCGGCGACAGCUUGCAGCACCGUCCCUAUCGGGGCGAGCAGGAGAUAAAUCCCCACCUUGCUUGGAUCACCAUGGCCCAGCACUGCCCAGCACGAGGCACAGGGGUGAGGCGAAGCAGAUGGAGAGCAGAGGAGCAGCCAGGCUGGCACAGACAGAACCCUGGGGCCACUACUCACCCACAGCACCCUCACCCUGGCAGGGAAAGACUGGAGGAGCCCCUGGAUACCCUGGACUGGGCUUUCCUGCCCUUGGAAGCCACUAGGCUGGGCAGAGGCAGCUGCCAGCAUGAGUUUGAAGCAGCAAAGUCACAGGUGGCUGUUGGGCACAGGCUGGUUUGGUGCCAUCCCUCCAUGGCAUGGGCAGUGCCAGAGCAGCCAAGCAAGAGAAGUGGAUUCUGCCCCUCCAAAGGUGCCCAAGGAUCUCCUGGAUGGGGUGACAUGAGCAGACACCAGGAGGUGGCCAAGGAAGGCUGGAGAAGAGCCAAGGCUCAGGCUGAAGAGUGGGAAGGAUCCAUGCAAGUGCUGCUGCCAUCCCCAGGGUAAGGGCUUGCUCCUCCUUGCCUGUGUGAGCAGCCCCAAAGCUGAAGCCAGAAGUGCCUAUGAGGUCCCACCUGGGGUCCCCUCAUACCUUGAUGCCAGACAUGGUGCACUGACCAGGAGGUGACAUCUCAGGAAGCUGAAGGACACAGAUCUGCUGUCACCAAGCCCAAAACGUUGGGAGAAUGAAAUCUGCAGCUCUUGGAGAGGGGAGGUCCCAGAGCCCCAGCAUGGCUCCAGCAUCCCCAGCAUGGAUGACCCCAAAGCAUCCAAGUCCAGUCUGAGCCACAGCAGCAGCUUGCCCAGGGGCACAAUGCCCAGGGGGGGGUUGGAAGCUCUGCACAGAAGGAGACUCCACAACCUCUUUGGGCAGCCUGCUCCAGGCCUCCAGCACCCUCACACCAAGCUGGGUUCUCCUCCUGUUCAGGUGGCACCUCCUGGCUUCCAGCUUGUGCCCCUUGCCUCUUGUGCAACCUGGGCACCACUGAGCACAGUCUGGCCCCAGCCUCUUGUCCCUCACAGCUCCUUUAGCUCUUGCUGAGCAUUGCUCAGCUCCCCUCUGGGACUGCUCCCCCCCAGCCUCAACCCCAGGUCCCUCAGCCUUUAGUCACAGAAGUUCCUGCCCCUUCACUUUCCACCCCAUGCAUUAAAGCUGUUGCAAGCCCCCA
This is a long non-coding RNA of Pogoniulus pusillus (Red-fronted tinkerbird), 1677 nucleotides long. RefSeq lists it as uncharacterized. The record is from RefSeq and is a predicted model, not a curated record. Lineage: Eukaryota; Metazoa; Chordata; Aves; Piciformes; Lybiidae. The transcript is spliced from 3 exons.